RNAcentral lists this ribosomal RNA (472 nucleotides) under uncultured Enterobacterales bacterium. Its description in RNAcentral is "bacterial SSU rRNA". It matches the Rfam family "Bacterial small subunit ribosomal RNA", at positions 62 to 523 of the family's 1533-position model. Lineage: Bacteria; Pseudomonadati; Pseudomonadota; Gammaproteobacteria; Enterobacterales. The record is from RNAcentral.
UCGAACGGUAGCACAGAGGAGCUUGCUCCUUGGGUGACGAGUGGCGGACGGGUGAGUAAUGUCUGGGAAACUGCCCGAUGGAGGGGGAUAACUACUGGAAACGGUAGCUAAUACCGCAUAACGUCGCAAGACCAAAGAGGGGGACCUUCGGGCCUCUUGCCAUCGGAUGUGCCCAGAUGGGAUUAGCUAGUAGGUGGGGUAACGGCUCACCUAGGCGACGAUCCCUAGCUGGUCUGAGAGGAUGACCAGCCACACUGGAACUGAGACACGGUCCGGACUCCUACGGGAGGCAGCAGUGGGGAAUAUUGCACAAUGGGCGCAAGCCUGAUGCAGCCAUGCCGCGUGUAUGAAGAAGGCCUUCGGGUUGUAAAGUACUUUCAGCGAGGAGGAAGGCGUUGUGGUUAAUAACCGCAACGAUUGACGUUACCCGCAGAAGAAGCACCGGCUAACUCCGUGCCAGCCGCCGCGGUAA